RNAcentral lists this ribosomal RNA (2901 nucleotides) under Salmonella enterica subsp. enterica serovar Newport. Its description in RNAcentral is "bacterial LSU rRNA". It matches the Rfam family "Bacterial large subunit ribosomal RNA". Lineage: Bacteria; Pseudomonadati; Pseudomonadota; Gammaproteobacteria; Enterobacterales; Enterobacteriaceae. The record is from RNAcentral.
UUAAGCGACUAAGCGUACACGGUGGAUGCCCUGGCAGUCAGAGGCGAUGAAGGACGUGCUAAUCUGCGAUAAGCGCCGGUAAGGUGAUAUGAACCGUUAUAACCGGCGAUUUCCGAAUGGGGAAACCCAGUGUGAUUCGUCACACUAUCAUUAACUGAAUCCAUAGGUUAAUGAGGCGAACCGGGGGAACUGAAACAUCUAAGUACCCCGAGGAAAAGAAAUCAACCGAGAUUCCCCCAGUAGCGGCGAGCGAACGGGGAGGAGCCCAGAGCCUGAAUCAGCAUGUGUGUUAGUGGAAGCGUCUGGAAAGGCGCGCGAUACAGGGUGACAGCCCCGUACACAAAAGCGCAUGUGCUGUGAGCUCGAUGAGUAGGGCGGGACACGUGGUAUCCUGUCUGAAUAUGGGGGGACCAUCCUCCAAGGCUAAAUACUCCUGACUGACCGAUAGUGAACCAGUACCGUGAGGGAAAGGCGAAAAGAACCCCGGCGAGGGGAGUGAAAAAGAACCUGAAACCGUGUACGUACAAGCAGUGGGAGCACAGGUUUACCUGUGUGACUGCGUACCUUUUGUAUAAUGGGUCAGCGACUUAUAUUCUGUAGCAAGGUUAACCGAAUAGGGGAGCCGGAGGGAAACCGAGUCUUAAUUGGGCGUUAAGUUGCAGGGUAUAGACCCGAAACCCGGUGAUCUAGCCAUGGGCAGGUUGAAGGUUGGGUAACACUAACUGGAGGACCGAACCGACUAAUGUUGAAAAAUUAGCGGAUGACCUGUGGCUGGGGGUGAAAGGCCAAUCAAACCGGGAGAUAGCUGGUUCUCCCCGAAAGCUAUUUAGGUAGCGCCUCGUGAACUCAUCUCCGGGGGUAGAGCACUGUUUCGGCUAGGGGGCCAUCCCGGCUUACCAACCCGAUGCAAACUGCGAAUACCGGAGAAUGUUAUCACGGGAGACACACGGCGGGUGCUAACGUCCGUCGUGAAGAGGGAAACAACCCAGACCGCCAGCUAAGGUCCCAAAGUCAUGGUUAAGUGGGAAACGAUGUGGGAAGGCCCAGACAGCCAGGAUGUUGGCUUAGAAGCAGCCAUCAUUUAAAGAAAGCGUAAUAGCUCACUGGUCGAGUCGGCCUGCGCGGAAGAUGUAACGGGGCUAAACCAUGCACCGAAGCUGCGGCAGCGACACUGUGUGUUGUUGGGUAGGGGAGCGUUCUGUAAGCCUGUGAAGGUGGCCUGUGAGGGUUGCUGGAGGUAUCAGAAGUGCGAAUGCUGACAUAAGUAACGAUAAAGCGGGUGAAAAGCCCGCUCGCCGGAAGACCAAGGGUUCCUGUCCAACGUUAAUCGGGGCAGGGUGAGUCGACCCCUAAGGCGAGGCCGAAAGGCGUAGUCGAUGGGAAACAGGUUAAUAUUCCUGUACUUGGUGUUACUGCGAAGGGGGGACGGAGAAGGCUAUGUUGGCCGGGCGACGGUUGUCCCGGUUUAAGCGUGUAGGCUGGUUUUCCAGGCAAAUCCGGAAAAUCAAGGCUGAGGCGUGAUGACGAGGCACUACGGUGCUGAAGCAACAAAUGCCCUGCUUCCAGGAAAAGCCUCUAAGCAUCAGGUAACAUCAAAUCGUACCCCAAACCGACACAGGUGGUCAGGUAGAGAAUACCAAGGCGCUUGAGAGAACUCGGGUGAAGGAACUAGGCAAAAUGGUGCCGUAACUUCGGGAGAAGGCACGCUGACACGUAGGUGAAGUGAUUUACUCAUGGAGCUGAAGUCAGUCGAAGAUACCAGCUGGCUGCAACUGUUUAUUAAAAACACAGCACUGUGCAAACACGAAAGUGGACGUAUACGGUGUGACGCCUGCCCGGUGCCGGAAGGUUAAUUGAUGGGGUCAGCGCAAGCGAAGCUCCUGAUCGAAGCCCCGGUAAACGGCGGCCGUAACUAUAACGGUCCUAAGGUAGCGAAAUUCCUUGUCGGGUAAGUUCCGACCUGCACGAAUGGCGUAAUGAUGGCCAGGCUGUCUCCACCCGAGACUCAGUGAAAUUGAACUCGCUGUGAAGAUGCAGUGUACCCGCGGCAAGACGGAAAGACCCCGUGAACCUUUACUAUAGCUUGACACUGAACAUUGAGCCUUGAUGUGUAGGAUAGGUGGGAGGCUUUGAAGCGUGGACGCCAGUCUGCGUGGAGCCGACCUUGAAAUACCACCCUUUAAUGUUUGAUGUUCUAACGUGGACCCGUAAUCCGGGUUGCGGACAGUGUCUGGUGGGUAGUUUGACUGGGGCGGUCUCCUCCUAAAGAGUAACGGAGGAGCACGAAGGUUGGCUAAUCCUGGUCGGACAUCAGGAGGUUAGUGCAAUGGCAUAAGCCAGCUUGACUGCGAGCGUGACGGCGCGAGCAGGUGCGAAAGCAGGUCAUAGUGAUCCGGUGGUUCUGAAUGGAAGGGCCAUCGCUCAACGGAUAAAAGGUACUCCGGGGAUAACAGGCUGAUACCGCCCAAGAGUUCAUAUCGACGGCGGUGUUUGGCACCUCGAUGUCGGCUCAUCACAUCCUGGGGCUGAAGUAGGUCCCAAGGGUAUGGCUGUUCGCCAUUUAAAGUGGUACGCGAGCUGGGUUUAGAACGUCGUGAGACAGUUCGGUCCCUAUCUGCCGUGGGCGCUGGAGAACUGAGGGGGGCUGCUCCUAGUACGAGAGGACCGGAGUGGACGCAUCACUGGUGUUCGGGUUGUCAUGCCAAUGGCACUGCCCGGUAGCUAAAUGCGGAAGAGAUAAGUGCUGAAAGCAUCUAAGCACGAAACUUGCCCCGAGAUGAGUUCUCCCUGAGACUUAGAGUCUCCUGAAGGAACGUUGAAGACGACGACGUUGAUAGGCCGGGUGUGUAAGCGCAGCGAUGCGUUGAGCUAACCGGUACUAAUGAACCGUGAGGCUUAACC